GUGUUAUUCCCUCUCUGCAACGAAGGAUCAGGAAGUUUGUACUCUCUGUGUGGCUGAGAAGUUUUUCACCUACUGGAACCCGCCUAGGGUACGGGAAACAGGUGCCCUCCAAAACGAGAGCGCGAACUGCAGCCUACGUCCCACUGCAGCUCAGGAGCAACGUCAGGUAAGAAUGACAACAUUAACUCAUAGAACCCGUCGAACUGAAGUAAGUAAGAGCUCUGAAAAGAAAAUAGAAAGUGAGGAAGACACUAAUCAAGAAAGGAGUCCAGAUAAUGAAGACCCUGGAGACUCUAAGGAUAUCCGCCUCACUCUUAUGGAAGAAGUAUUGCUCCUGGGGCUAAAAGAUAAAGAGGGCUACACAUCUUUCUGGAAUGACUGUAUAUCAUCUGGACUGCGAGGAGGCAUUCUGAUAGAGCUGGCCAUGCGGGGUCGAAUCUAUCUGGAACCUCCCACCAUGCGUAAGAAGCGACUCCUAGACAGAAAGGUCCUGCUGAAGUCAGACAGCCCAACAGGUGAUGUUUUGCUGGAUGAGACGCUCAAACACAUUAAAGCAACUGAGCCAACCGAAACUGUGCAGACGUGGAUCGAGCUACUCACUGGUCUCACCAUGUAGCAGUGGCUAGCUAGGAACUUGUGGGCUCCAAACUUAAAGAUCUGCCUGUUUCUAUCUCCCAAGUACUGGGAUUAAAGGUGAGACAUGGAACCCUUUCAAAUUACAGUACCAGCUGAGAAAUGUACGAGAACGAAUUGCCAAGAACCUGGUGGAAAAGGGCAUUCUAACCACAGAGAAGCAGAAUUUCCUGCUCUUCGACAUGACCACUCAUCCAGUGACCAAUACGACAGAGAAACAGCGACUAAUGAAAAAGCUUCAAGACAGUGUGCUAGAACGGUGGGUAAAUGACCCUCAGCGCAUGGACAGGCGAACACUGGCCCUCCUGGUGCUGGCCCACUCUUCUGAUGUGCUGGAGAAUGUCUUCUCUUGUCUGACAGAUGAUAAGUAUGAUGUGGCAAUGAAUCGAACCAAGGACCUAGUAGAACUGGACCCUGAAGUGGAGGGGACAAAGCACAAUGCUACAGAGAUGAUCUGGGCUGUGCUGGCAGCCUUCAACAAAUCCUAAAGCCAGCAGGCGGGUGUCUCCUUUUCCCGGCUGGCUGGUGACUCUCAGAGACCCAAUCACUGAGUUCAGUGUGAUAAGAUGCUAUCAUCAUUUCCCCACUUUUUGAAUCAGACUCCUGACUUGAGGAGGAAAACUUCAUGGCCUCUCUGUCCAUCGGCCAUGACCUUCUAAGCAGACUGUUUCUCCUCACUUCCACUCUGUCUGAAUGAAAGGGGUGAACCCACACACAUCUAAUAAACAACUCCCAUUUCUGGGUUUAGUUUUAACCAGUGUGGUUCUGGAUAAACAAGAGUUCCUGUGUGGGGAUUAGAGUUUUCCAGCAACAAAAUGUGAAGGAAAUGAACAGUAAACCAUAUUCAAUUUUUUUUCUCCCUUAUUCAUGUUUUCUCAGGCUUUGUUUCUCCGCUCUGUUAAGCAGUGACACUUCCUGAAAUCACUGACUCUUUGAAUGAGAGGCAGUGGGAACAAGACUAAUUUUUGAAGCAAAUGGUUCCUGAGAUUAUACCUCCCACCUGUGAUUUUCUCAUCUUCACAUAAUGAAAACACUCCAAGUUUGAUGACCCGAAUCCCUUAGUUCUCAGAGCAGAAAUGUAUUCUACACUCCUUUUUAGCUUUGUCUGGCUCCCACACUCAUUAAGAUUCUGAAUUGAAAAAGCAGUGUGCCUCAGUCACCUCCUCCUUACAGCCAGCAUUAGGACCUGUAGAGAAGUGGGGCAACAUGAGACUUCACAUCCAUGAAACCAAGUGUCAUCUGAGCCCUGAAGAGAGAGUGGCAGCUAGAUUCAGGGCUAGCCUUGGCUAUAUGAGACCAUCUCGCAUUGAAAAAUUAAAGACUUUUCACAUAUCCUUCAGUAUGUGACUGUUCUGUUUGCUCUAGACUACUUUAAAUAUCUCUACUCUGAUAAAAUUAAGGGAAUUAAGUUUCAAGUCCCAAAUUACAGCAUUGAGUCCCAACAAUGUAGCCAACCUCCAUAUUUGCAUAGUCCCUGUUUUUAUUUCCUACAUAAAUGGAUAAAUUUUCCCUGUAUUUAAGGGCUUUGGCAGUAAUUCUGUCUAUAUUUAAUCUAUUGUCACCCUCUAAAUUGUGUCUUCUUUCAACACAGCCAUCCUGGCCAAAUCCCUUAAAAUGUUUUUGCUUCAGUAGAGAGGAUGAAGAGGGUGGAGAGAUCCUAUUUAGAUGGCCAGUUGAGUGUCACCAGCAGCAGAUGCAAAGCCUAAGCUCAAGGGUUGUGAAGAGGCCAGCACUGUGUUGUGCAGAGUUCAAGCACCCUGUUGACCACUGGGGAGAGACAGGCUUUCACACAGCCACCACAGAUGACUUGGACUAAUACCAAAUCCUUCUAAUCAGAAAUAAAUUAUAACCUCAUCGUUCCCUUGAACCUUCCUAGGUCCAUGAAAGUUCUCCAGCUUAUUGUUAUUGUUUUCAUCUGACUCUUAGAUGAGUAGAGAUAAAAGCUGUCAUUUGAGAAGCUAAGCAGAGCCUUAGUCUGGCUUUCUAGAAGGGCAAAAGCCAGGCCAUGUAUAAUCUAGCAGCUCAUAUUAUCUUCCCCUUAGAACAAUUCAUAGUGAAUUGAAACCAGAUUUUCCUUUGAAAGCUUUAGCUUGUUUGGGGAAUAGAAGUUGAAUUCUUUCUUGCAACUCUCAAUGUUUAUUUUUAUAUGUCCAUACAAUGAGAAUGUCUUCACUUCUAAUCUGUGUAAUGUUCACUGCCAAACACUCAUUUAGUGUAUAUUGCCUUCACAUUUCUGUAUAAUAAAGAUCAAUAAUUGUA
This is an RNA transcript of Mus musculus (house mouse), 2892 nucleotides long. It is a transcript of the gene named golgi phosphoprotein 3-like, with no coding region annotated. The transcript has 6 exons. NCBI's taxonomy places the organism in Eukaryota, Metazoa, Chordata, Mammalia, Rodentia, Muridae. The record is from RefSeq and is marked validated.